RNAcentral lists this non-coding RNA (29 nucleotides) under Homo sapiens (human). Lineage: Eukaryota; Metazoa; Chordata; Mammalia; Primates; Hominidae. The record is from RNAcentral.
UUCCACAUCUACAGUCAAUGAAGGGAGCA